This 2705-nucleotide long non-coding RNA is filed under the name Sus scrofa (pig). Its description in RNAcentral is "lncRNA (ENSSSCG00000048887.1)". Lineage: Eukaryota; Metazoa; Chordata; Mammalia; Artiodactyla; Suidae. The record is from RNAcentral.
GGAUACAACCAUGGCAUAUGGAAGUUCCUGAGCCAGGGAUCCAACUAUGAUGCAGCUAUGGCAACGAAGGAUCCUUAACCCACUGCACUGGGCUGGGGAUUGAACCCACACCAACAAAGAAACAACACAGGACCCUUAACUUGCUGUGCCACAGUGAGAAUUCAAGAUCCAAUUUUAAUAUACUAGAUUUUAAUGUCCACACCUGCUGCAUAUGGAAGUUCCCAGGGUAGGGGUCAAAUCAGAGCUGUAGCUGCCAGCCUACAGCACAGCCACAGCAAUUCCCAGAUCUGAGCUGUGUCUGCGACCUACAUCACAACUCAGAAUUCUUAACCCACUGAGCAAGGCCAGGGAGUGAAUUCAUGUCCUCAUGGAUACUAGUCAGGUUAGUUACCGUUAAGCUAUGAUGGGAACUCCAUACAUUUAAUUUUUAUUCUGUGAUUCAGGAAGAACUAGGAUGUUAUUUCUAGUCUGAAUCAAUAGCAUAGGUAAUAUUAGAUACAGCAUCAGAUGUGAAUUAUUUUGGCUUUUGGUUAUGUGAAUUCUUGAUGGGUAUUGUAAAACUUAAGUUAUCUUCUGAUGUUUUUAUAAAAGCCUCUUUAAUUCUCUCCUUUCCUACAAAAAAAAUGGGUUAAAAGGCUUUUCUUUGAUUUUUAAUAUGGUCGGAACUUUGAGAAACAUCUCAAUCAGUAGUUAAUAAAGAUAGAGACACAUGAAGCAACUGUUCCCACAAGAGCAAUUAUAGAUGAGAUUUCUUUGGGUCCUACAUGAACUCCUCUCUCACCCAGAGGGUUACCAAUCACAUGAGCACCAUGAGAAUCUACCAAACUCAGAUUGUUAUAUUUUUUGUCAAUUUAAGCUCCAUUUAUAGAAAGGCAAGAAUUGUAGUUUAAAAACGAAGCUGGCCCACAGGGAGGAUCUCUUCAACUGGAGAAGCCCUGUUUCAUCAUUACUUUCCACAGUCUUUGAAACUGGAAAAACUCAACAGGAGCUGCACAUGUUUGGUACAUUUUUUUUUCCUUCUAAGACCUUAACAAGAGCAGAAGGGAUUCUUUUAACAUGAACUUUAUCAUAACAAAUAAAGGAUUAAUAUGAGAGAAAGAAAACCACUUUGUGGAAUGAACAAUUCACAGUGUGUUUGUUCUGUAAUAUUUUUGGAAAGCCACCCUCCUACCAAGAAAUGUGCAACUAAACAAUGCACUGCUCACCUCUGGGCCAUACCUAACAUGAAGAGUAAGUAAUGUGCGGGUACCACUGCAGCCCCUUACAUGGGAUUGCCUCCUCACUGUGGCAUGUGUCACUUUAUCUAGAAGCAAUAGGACAAGGGGUUCUGCUGGGGUCUUCAUUCAGAUCCUUCCCAUCAUUAUAAUUCUAGGGCUCUAGUUUCUGUUGUUGUCUAUGAAUGCCUGGCUCUGUUGGGGUGUGAAAAUCCUCCAAGAUAACAGUGGAGCUUUCUCAGUCUCUGCAACUGCAUUUCUUCCAAUUCCAUCUGUAUGCCCUCCAUACCUCUAUUAACCAUAAUUCUUCACUUAUGUCAUUUUCAUAAGUCUUCUGAUUCCUCAUUGCUAUUGCCUAAAUCUUAGGAAGGUUUGUAACCACUGAAAGGCACCACAUCUUUUCAGUAUCUUGAAAUAUUUGCAAAUGCAAUUUCACAUCUGCAAUGGGUAGAGAUUUAUAAAUUUCUUCAAAUUAAGAUGAAAUAAAUGCAACUUCUGAGAUGAAAGCUCAAGGUCAUUUACCCCCAGGUUUUUCCUUUGAUCCAGUAGCACGGUCACUUCCUUCUUCACUCCUUCCCAAUACGGUAGUCACCCUCCCGUACAGUUGCAGAUAUUGAAAAAUUCUGAUACAAUAUUUUAAAAUUCAUAUAUAUUGCAAUUCUAUUCAUUAAAUAAAGCAAAGACUUCUUCUCUGUUAAGGCUAUCAGCUCAACCCCCAAAUAUGUAAUUUUGUUUUCCAAAGUGUUUAUUCAUACUACUGCUAAAGCACUUAUCAUCUUCCAUUGUAGCCUAAUUUAUAUAUAUGUCUUCUCCAAGAUAUUAUCACCUUCUUGAAAGCAGAGAUCUGUGUAUUUGCAUUCCAUUCACCCAGGUCAGUGAAAGAUACAUUGUAAGUAUCAGUAGCAAAUGCUUAUAAAAUAAAUAAAUGAGUUAAUUUAAAGCAUUACUUUUUUUUUUUUUUUUGUCUUUUUGCCAUUUCCUGGGCUGCUCCUGUGGCAUAUGGAGGUUCCCAGGAGAGGGGUCGAAUCGGAGCUGUAGCUGCCAGCCUACACCAGAGCCACAGCAACGCAGGAUCAGAGCCGCGUCUGCGACCUACACCACAGCUCAUGGUAAUGCCGGAUCAUUAACCCACUGAGCAAGGGCAGGGAUCGAACCCGCAACCACAUGGUUCCUAGUCAGAUUCGUUAACCACUGCGCCACGACGGGAACUCCAAAACAUUACUUUCUGUGAAGAAAAAAAAAAUCUGUAUAACUGAGUUUUGCUGCUUAACUUUUCAUCCUUUUUACAUAAGGGAUAAUUAGCAACUAAAAGGGAAAGGACAAACACUUAUUUUUAAUUUAAAAGUCAUGCUGUGAUGAGCUUUAAGAGGAAGUAAUUUGACUUGGAAUAUCAUUGUAGAGCUCAGGACACAGUCAAAGAUCAGACAACAAAAUAUCUUCAUAUUUUCCACUUGGCAUUCAAGCAAAUGUGAAGACUAGAUGAGUGAGUGU